Molecule: small nucleolar RNA, 215 nt
Organism: Cyprinodon tularosa
Lineage: Eukaryota; Metazoa; Chordata; Actinopteri; Cyprinodontiformes; Cyprinodontidae
Product: small nucleolar RNA U3
Exons: 1
Source: RefSeq, a predicted model, not a curated record
AAGACUAUACUUUCAGGGAUUAUUUCUAUAGUUUCUAACUUGAGAAAUGUGCUCCUAAAUUGUAUGGACUCGCUAACCACGAUGAUGAGGUAACGAUACUUCUUCCUGAGCGCGAAGCUGGUAAAGAUUGGAGAUUUUGUCACGUGAUCUUUGCUUUUGAUGACCGUUCACUGCUCCUGCUGGAGCAGCGAUGGAGGGAGUAUUGUCAGAGUGGU